AAGGUGCUGAAGAAGGCGACGCUGAAAGUACGUGACCGCGUCCGGACCAAGAUGGAGAGAGACAUCCUGGCUGAUGUAAAUCACCCAUUCGUGGUGAAGCUGCACUAUGCCUUCCAGACCGAGGGCAAGCUCUAUCUCAUUCUGGACUUCCUGCGUGGUGGGGACCUCUUCACACGGCUCUCAAAAGAGGUGAUGUUCACGGAGGAGGAUGUGAAGUUUUACUUGGCCGAGCUGGCUCUGGGCCUGGAUCACCUGCACAGCCUGGGUAUCAUUUACAGAGACCUCAAGCCUGAGAACAUCCUUCUGGAUGAGGAGGGCCACAUCAAACUCACUGGUGAGUGGAGGGCGCCUGCCCCCUCGGGCCCCAGGGGAGGGCAGGACAAGGUCAUGAUAGUUCUCGGCUGAGUGCUGGGGGCUCAUUCUUCCCGAGAAGCUGUGCCAGUUACUUGGAAGUGGUGAAAAACUCAGGCCUCAGACUUGGAACACCCUCAGUUGGAAUCCCAGCCCCUCAUUGUGUAAUGCUGGGCAAG
This 530-nucleotide small RNA is filed under the name Pongo abelii (Sumatran orangutan). RNAcentral's name for it is "retained intron". Lineage: Eukaryota; Metazoa; Chordata; Mammalia; Primates; Hominidae. The record is from RNAcentral.